This 506-nucleotide ribosomal RNA is filed under the name uncultured Chitinophagaceae bacterium. RNAcentral describes it as "bacterial SSU rRNA". It matches the Rfam family "Bacterial small subunit ribosomal RNA", at positions 8 to 507 of the family's 1533-position model. Lineage: Bacteria; Pseudomonadati; Bacteroidota; Chitinophagia; Chitinophagales; Chitinophagaceae. The record is from RNAcentral.
AGAGUUUGAUCCUGGCGUCAGGAUGAACGCUAGCGGCAGGCUUAAUACAUGCAAGUCGAGGGGCAGCAGGGGUAGCAAUACUCGCUGGCGACCGGCAAACGGGUGCGGAACACGUACGCAACUUUCCCAAAACUGGUGAAUAGCCCUCCGAAAGGAGGAUUAAUACACCGUAAGAUAAUGGAGUGGCAUCACUCUAUUAUUAUAGCUCCGGCGGUUUUGGAUGGGCGUGCGCCUGAUUAGGUAGUUGGUAGGGUAACGGGCCUACCAAGCCAACGAUCAGUAACUGGUGUGAGAGCACGACCAGUCACACGGGCACUGAGACACGGGCCCGACUCCUACGGGAGGCAGCAGUAAGGAAUAUUGGUCAAUGGACGAAAGUCUGAACCAGCCAUGCCGCGUGAAGGAUGAAGGCCCUCUGGGUUGUAAACUUCUUUUAUAGGGGACGAAAAAAGGGAAUUCUUUCUCACUUGACGGUACCCUAGGAAUAAGCACCGGCUAACUCCGUG